GACGAACGCUGGCGGCGUGCCUAAUACAUGCAAGUCGAGCGAAGUUUUUCUGGUGCUUGCACCGGAAAAACUUAGCGGCGAACGGGUGAGUAACACGUAAAGAACCUGCCUCAUAGACUGGGACAACUAUUGGAAACGAUAGCUAAUACCGGAUAAUAGCAUUAACUGCAUGGUUGAUGUUUAAAAGUUGGUUUUGCUAACACUAUGAGAUGGCUUUGCGGUGCAUUAGCUAGUUGGUGGGGUAAAGGCCUACCAAGGCGACGAUGCAUAGCCGACCUGAGAGGGUGAUCGGCCACACUGGGACUGAGACACGGCCCAGACUCCUACGGGAGGCAGCAGUAGGGAAUCUUCCGCAACGGGCGAAAGCCUGACGGAGCAACGCCGCGUGAGUGAAGAAGGAUUUCGGUUCGUAAAGCUCUGUUGUUAGGGAAGAAUGAUUGUGUAGUAACUAUACACAGUAGAGACGGUACCUAACCAGAAAGCCACGGCUAACUACGUG
This 499-nucleotide ribosomal RNA is filed under the name uncultured bacterium. RNAcentral describes it as "partial 16S ribosomal RNA". It matches the Rfam family "Bacterial small subunit ribosomal RNA", at positions 28 to 507 of the family's 1533-position model. The record is from RNAcentral.